UCCUAAGUGUUACCUCUUAUUCCUCUAGAC
RNAcentral lists this non-coding RNA (30 nucleotides) under Homo sapiens (human). Lineage: Eukaryota; Metazoa; Chordata; Mammalia; Primates; Hominidae. The record is from RNAcentral.